CUUAGAAGCAGCCACUCAUUUAAAGAGUGCGUAAUAGCUCACUGGUCGAGUGAUUGUGCGCCGAAAAUGUACCGGGGCUAAACUGUGUACCGAAGUCUAGGGAUCGUGAUAAACGAUCGGUAGGGGAGCAACGUGUGCGGGCUGAAGCCGAAGCGGAAGCGACGGUGGACUGCACGGGAGAGAGAAUGCCGGCAUGAGUAGCGAGAGCAAAGUGAGAAUCUUUGCCGUCGAAAGCCUAAGGUUUCCUGAGGAAGGCUCGUCCUCUCAGGGUAAGUCAGGACCUAAGCCGAGGACAAAAGUCGUAGGCGAUGGACAACUGGUUGAUAUUCCAGUACCACCUUUAGCGUUUGACUGAAGCAGUGACACAGAAGGAUAGACAGAGCGCGUGACUGGUAGAGCGCGUCCAAGCGAUGAGGGAGUUAAGUAGUGAAGAACGCUUAACAAUCCUGGGUCGUGAUGGGGACUGAAAAUAAGUAGGGAAGCUGUUGAAUUCACGCUGGCGAGAAAAGCUGCUAAGGAGCGAAAGGGUGCCUGUACCGCAAACCGACACAGGUAGGCGAGGAGAGAAUCCUAAGACGAGCGGGAGAACCCAUGUUAAGGAACUCGGCAAAAUGACCCUGUAACUUCGGGAUAAAGGGAGCCACGAGAGUGGCCGCAGAGAAUAGGCCCAAGCGACUGUUUACCAAAAACACAGGUCUGUGCGAAGUAGAGAUACGACGUAUACGGGCUGACGCCUGCCCAGUGCCGGAAGGUUAAGGGGAAGUGUUAGGGCAACCGAAGCACGGAACUUAAGCCCCGGUGAACGGCGGCCGUAACUAUAACGGUCCUAAGGUAGCGAAAUUCCUUGUCGGGUAAGUUCCGACCCGCACGAAUGGCGUAACGACUUGGGCACUGUCUCAACAUGGGACCCGGCGAAAUUGUAGUAUGUGUGAAGAUGCACAUUACCCGCGAUAGGACGGAAAGACCCCGUAGAGCUUUACUGUAGUUUAACAUUGGAUUUCGGUAACAUAUGUACAGGAUAGGUGGGAGGCGAAGAACCAGGGACGCCAGUUUCUGGGGAGCCGACCUUGGGAUACCACUCUUGUGUUAUUGGAGUUCUAACGAAUUGCCGUGAACCGGGAUUCGGACAGUGUUAGAUGGGCAGUUUGACUGGGGCGGUCGCCUCCCAAAGAGUAACGGAGGCGUCCAAAGGUUCCCUCAGAAUGGUUGGAAACCAUUCGCAGAGUGUAAAGGCAGAAGGGAGCUUGACUGCGAGACCGACAGGUCGAGCAGGUGCGAAAGCAGGGCUUAGUGAUCCGGCGGUAUGAGAGUGGAAUUGCCGUCGCUCAACGGAUAAAAGCUACCUCGGGGAUAACAGGCUUAUCUCCCCCAAGAGUCCACAUCGACGGGGAGGUUUGGCACCUCGAUGUCGGCUCGUCGCAUCCUGGGGCUGAAGCAGGUCCCAAGGGUUUGGCUGUUCGCCAAUUAAAGCGGCACGCGAGCUGGGUUCAGAACGUCGUGAGACAGUUCGGUCCCUAUCCAUCGUGGGCGUAGGAGUCAUGAGAGGAGCUGUUCCUAGUACGAGAGGACCGGAAUGGACGCACCACUGGUGCAACUGUUGUCGUGCCAACGGCAUAGCAGGGAAGCGAAGUGCGGAUGGGAUAAACGCUGAAGGCAUCUAAGCGUGAAGCCCACCUCAAGAAUAAGACUCCACAAUAGACCCCUGGAGGACUACCAGGUAGAUAGGUCAUCGGUGGAAGCGCUGUAAGGCGUGUAGCUUGAUGAUACUAAUCGGUCGAAAGCUUCAUUU
Molecule: ribosomal RNA, 1789 nt
Filed under: human gut metagenome
Description: bacterial LSU rRNA
Rfam family: Bacterial large subunit ribosomal RNA
Source: RNAcentral